AGUGAACGCUGGCGGUAGGCCUAACACAUGCAAGUCGAACGGCAGCACAGGAGAGCUUGCUCUCUGGGUGGCGAGUGGCGGACGGGUGAGGAAUACAUCGGAAUCUACCUUUUCGUGGGGGAUAACGUAGGGAAACUUACGCUAAUACCGCAUACGACCUUCGGGGUAAAGCAGGGGUCUUUCGGGCCUGGCGCGUAUAGAUGAGCCGAUGUCGGAUUAGCUAGUUGGCGGGGUAAAGGCCAACCAAGGCGACGAUCCGUAGCUGGUCUGAGAGGAUGAUCAGCCACACUGGAACUGAGACACGGUCCAGACUCCUACGGGAGGCAGCAGUGGGGAAUAUUGGACAAUGGGCGCAAGCCUGAUCCAGCCAUACCGCGUGGGUGAAGAAGGCCUUCGGGUUGUAAAGCCCUUUUGUUGGGAAAGAAAAGCAGCCAGUUAAUACCUGGUUGUUCUGACGGUACCCAAAGAAUAAGCACCGGCUAACUUCGUGCCAGCCGCCGCAGUAA
RNAcentral lists this ribosomal RNA (506 nucleotides) under uncultured bacterium. RNAcentral's name for it is "partial 16S ribosomal RNA". It matches the Rfam family "Bacterial small subunit ribosomal RNA", at positions 29 to 523 of the family's 1533-position model. The record is from RNAcentral.